UAUUAUAGGUUUUUAUUUAUAAAAUUAAUAGGGAAAGAGGUUAGAAUCCUCUGCAGCCCCCGCUACUGUUAUGCUGAUGAAACUUUUGAUACCACUGUGACUUAAUAUAAGUUAUGGGAAGGAAAAGUAGUAAGAUGAAGCUAAGCCAGGAGACCUGCCUAUAAUAUAUA
Molecule: non-coding RNA, 170 nt
Filed under: Paraclostridium tenue
Lineage: Bacteria; Bacillati; Bacillota; Clostridia; Peptostreptococcales; Peptostreptococcaceae
Source: RNAcentral